UAAAAGAGGAAUAAUUGGGAUGGUGAGCCUAAUCUGAUGUUUUCCAUACAGUUAGUUUUCUAUUACAAUUGAACAAUGUAAUAAACUGUUCCCUAGGCUCUUGACACAGUUUGAUUCGAUGGCCUGCUGCUCUUGGACCUCAGGACAGAGCCCAUUAGAGCAUGUGAGAAGUCAGCCAAAGCUACCACAAAAACAGCCACCGGGCUCCUCAACCAUUCUCUGCUCAGCCUAACCCAACUCACCUAAAUAAUGUGUUCUCAGAGAUAAGAGAAAAAGACCACUACCACCACAAACAAUGACAACAGAAACCUGAGUUGGAUGCCAAACAGAUGGACAGCUUCAAUUUGGUGGUUGGCAAGCCUGCUUCAUAUAAGACUACAUCAUGCCACUUUCCUGAUUUUCUUGCCUGGAGGGAUUUAUGCUACUACAAAAUCUGGCACUAGGCUGGGACUUUAGGCUUGAGCUGGCUGUUAUAUGAAUUUAGAGAUAAAGAUGAAUAGAAUGUCUGGAGUAAGAAUGAUUUUAAUUAUGGAUCUCACCUCUCUUGUUCCCUAUUACUGAAUAAUGCAUUGUUCCUAA
Molecule: long non-coding RNA, 579 nt
Organism: Peromyscus leucopus (white-footed mouse)
Lineage: Eukaryota; Metazoa; Chordata; Mammalia; Rodentia; Cricetidae
Exons: 3
Source: RefSeq, a predicted model, not a curated record